This 119-nucleotide ribosomal RNA is filed under the name Pteropus alecto (black flying fox). Lineage: Eukaryota; Metazoa; Chordata; Mammalia; Chiroptera; Pteropodidae. The record is from RNAcentral. RNAcentral also lists the same sequence under 1 other name.
GUCUACGGCCAUGCCACCCUGAACAAGCUCCAUCAUGUCUGAUCUCGGAAGCUAAGAAGGGUCGGGCCUGGUUAGUAUUUGGAUGGGAGACCGCCUAGGAAGACCAGGUGCUGUAGGCA